RNAcentral lists this ribosomal RNA (306 nucleotides) under uncultured Planctomycetota bacterium. RNAcentral's name for it is "bacterial SSU rRNA". It matches the Rfam family "Bacterial small subunit ribosomal RNA", at positions 29 to 350 of the family's 1533-position model. The record is from RNAcentral. Lineage: Bacteria; Pseudomonadati; Planctomycetota.
AAUGAACGUUGGCGGCGUGGAUUAGGCAUGCAAGUCGUGCGAGAACCGUAGCAAUACGGGGACAGCGGCGAAAGGGAGAGUAACACGUGGAUACCUACCCUCGGGACCGGGAUAGCUACGGGAAACUGUAGGUAAUACCGGAUAACAUCCCCGGAUCAAAGGUGCGAUUCCGCCUGAGGAUGGGUUCGCGUCCUAUUAGCUAGUUGGUGAGGUAACGGCUCACCAAGGCGAUGAUGGGGUAUGGGGUGUGAGAGCAUGCCCCCACUCACUGGGACUGAGACACUGCCCAGACACCUACGGGUGGCA